Molecule: unclassified non-coding RNA, 1433 nt
Filed under: Hevea brasiliensis (rubber tree)
Lineage: Eukaryota; Viridiplantae; Streptophyta; Magnoliopsida; Malpighiales; Euphorbiaceae
Source: RNAcentral
CUGCUUAGUUUGAAUGAAUGAUCUCAGUUCAAAAGAGCUCAUAAUGCCCUGCAUAAUAAUCUCAAAAUCAGGUUGCUUGGGAAAUAAAAUGAAAAUUGCUGCUCCAUAUGCAACUGUUGCAGCUCCUCUUAAUUAAUUGGCAAAAUAUUGGAAUAGAAGAGUCCAUGCUAAAAAUCUAAAAAUCGCUCAUCAGUGUUUGUAUAAGGAUGGAAUUCUCUAGGAGUAAUAAGUUAAUAACCGAAAAAGACACAAGGUCCAACAGUGAACUUAUCACUGCAUGCUAGAGUAUUAAACAACUAGCGGCAUUAAUAAUUGUACAGGAAAAUUAUUAUACAGUUGAUAUCUAAUUCUCUUCUGGAGCAGGCAUCAGCCGAAGCCUUCCCUCUGAUGGCUGAUUACCACCAGAAAACCUCUCUUCUGCCAAUAAAGACUGUAAAUCACUACCAUUGGCCAAACUGUUGAAUUCUACUGCUUUAGAUGGCACAGUUGGAUAGCGCCGUUGGCAAAAGGUCAUCAAUCUCUUGACCGACUGUAAGUAUUUGCGGGUAGUCUCAUCAUUCAUGAUGUGGGCCACGCUAUUGGUGUAAAUCUUCUCACGAGCUGAACGUUCAUGAAUGCCAACCAUGGUAACUCCAAUUGGCCACGGUGCAUUACCAAUUGCCAGCUUAAUAUAAUGAUCCAUGGCAGCUAGGUAGUCUCGCUUCAUGCAGCACUCAACCACCACUAGCAACGCUUGACGAAUAUCAUCAGGAAGAACCUUCUUCCUGCAAAACUUGAAUAAUGGAUUCAGAUACCUGGCGCACUGUUUAAAGGUAGCAACCAUUGACUUCCCUUUAGCCGUCCGCUUCUCUGCGUCAGGCAUCUCAUCCAACUCCUGUUUCCACUCAUUCAACAGCCUUUUGAAGAACACCAGAAUCUUAUCCUCAUCACACAACUCUUCAAAAUUGGCCUUCAUCCGCUUCAAAUCCUUAUCAGCAUCGACACCACUAGAGCCACCAUCGGCACUCAGCUCCCCCUCCCCUUCCCCUACCUCUCCAUCCUCUCCACCUCCUUCCUCCCUAUCCUUCCUUUUCCGCUCGCUCAGAAUUCCGGUCUUCUGGCGCUUUCUGAGCUCAGCAAUAUCACGCAAAAAGUCAUUGGUCUGCCCCUCAGUCAUGUCGUUAUCGACCUCGAAGAUUCCAGCCUUCAAGACGUACUUCAACCUGUCAAGCCGAGCAUCGUCGUCUUCACCAAAGAGAGUGAUGGGCUGUUUUAGGAACCGAAGGCGGCGGAUGACCUCUUGUUUAGGGAGGACAAGGUUGUCGAUGUUUUGUUCAUUGGUUAGGGAUUUGGAUGUCGUGGGGAUGGAGGUGGAGGUGGUAGCGGUGGCAGUAGCAGUGGCGGUGGCAGUGGAUUUUGUGGAGGUUGUGGUUGUAGAGGCAGCUGCGGGUUGG